CCUACGGGAGGCAGCAGUGGGGAAUAUUGCACAAUGGGCGAAAGCCUGAUGCAGCGACGCCGCGUGAGGGAUGACGGCCUUCGGGUUGUAAACCUCUUUCAGCAGGGAAGAAGCGAAAGUGACGGUACCUGCAGAAGAAGCGCCGGCUAACUACGUGCCAGCAGCCGCGGUAAUACGUAGGGCGCAAGCGUUGUCCGGAAUUAUUGGGCGUAAAGAGCUCGUAGGCGGCUUGUCACGUCGGUUGUGAAAGCCCGGGGCUUAACCCCGGGUCUGCAGUCGAUACGGGCAGGCUAGAGUGUGGUAGGGGAGAUCGGAAUUCCUGGUGUAGCGGUGAAAUGCGCAGAUAUCAGGAGGAACACCGGUGGCGAAGGCGGAUCUCUGGGCCAUUACUGACGCUGAGGAGCGAAAGCGUGGGGAGCGAACAGGAUUAGAUACCCUGGUAGUCCACGCCGUAAACGGUGGGAACUAGGUGUUGGCGACAUUCCACGUCGUCGGUGCCGCAGCUAACGCAUUAAGUUCCCCGCCUGGGGAGUACGGCCGCAAGGCUAAAACNCAAANANAUGAGNGNGAGAGNGCGAGCGACACGAGGAGAG
This 593-nucleotide ribosomal RNA is filed under the name uncultured bacterium. Its description in RNAcentral is "bacterial SSU rRNA". It matches the Rfam family "Bacterial small subunit ribosomal RNA", at positions 338 to 943 of the family's 1533-position model. The record is from RNAcentral.